GCACAGAAAAGAAUUGAAUUGCUAUUAAGAAGAAACUGGUAAACCUGCUGCUCAUCUUGAUGAUCUUGGUAACAAAAAUCACCUAGCAUCAACUAGAAAGAACACUUCUGGUAACCAGCCUAAACAUAAUAACCUUUUAGCCUGAGUCAUUAGUAUACUCAAACAAACUUGAUAAAUAUAUAUAUAUAUAUGAGAUGUAGGGGAAAGAAUUGUAGUUCAGGUAUGAUGGUCAAACUUUAACAUUGCAAACUAAUUACUAUUUGUAGGUAAUGAAUCAUAAAAGAAAGAUGAGAGUAGAGACAACAAUUUUAUAGUCUUUUUUCAAUAGGAAAACAAAGAUCAUCUGAUUACCUAUCAAUAAGCCAAAGAACUCCA
RNAcentral lists this unclassified non-coding RNA (375 nucleotides) under Hevea brasiliensis (rubber tree). Lineage: Eukaryota; Viridiplantae; Streptophyta; Magnoliopsida; Malpighiales; Euphorbiaceae. The record is from RNAcentral.